RNAcentral lists this ribosomal RNA (910 nucleotides) under uncultured bacterium. Its description in RNAcentral is "bacterial SSU rRNA". It matches the Rfam family "Bacterial small subunit ribosomal RNA", at positions 17 to 920 of the family's 1533-position model. The record is from RNAcentral.
UCCUGGCUCAGGAUGAACGCUGGCGGCGUGCCUAAUACAUGCAAGUCGAGCGAGGUUCUUCGGAACCUAGCGGCGGACGGGUGAGUAACACGUGGGUAACCUGCCUGUAAGACCGGGAUAACUUCGGGAAACCGAAGCUAAUACCGGAUACUUUCGAGCAUCGCAUGAUGCUUGAUGGAAAGACGGCUUCGGCUGUCACUUACAGAUGGACCCGCGUCGCAUUAGCUAGUUGGUGAGGUAACGGCUCACCAAGGCGACCAUGCGUAGCCGACCUGAGAGGGUGAUCGGCCACACUGGAACUGAGACACGGCCCAGACUCCUACGGGAGGCAGCAGUAGGGAAUCUUCGGCAAUGGGCGAAAGCCUGACCGAGCAACGCCGCGUGAGCGAUGAAGGCCUUCGGGUCGUAAAGCUCUGUUGUUAAGGAAGAACAAGUACGAGAGUAACUGCUCGUACCUUGACGGUACUUAACGAGAAAGCCACGGCUAACUACGUGCCAGCAGCCGCGGUAAUACGUAGGUGGCGAGCGUUAUCCGGAAUUAUUGGGCGUAAAGCGCGCGCAGGCGGUUUCUUAAGUCUGAUGUGAUAGCCCACGGCUCAACCGUGGAGGGUCAUUGGAAACUGGGAAACUUGAGUGCAGAAGAGGAAAGCGGAAUUCCACGUGUAGCGGUGAAAUGCGUAGAGAUGUGGAGGAACACCAGUGGCGAAGGCGGCUUUCUGGUCUGUAACUGACGCUGAGGCGCGAAAGCGUGGGGAGCAAACAGGAUUAGAUACCCUGGUAGUCCACGCCGUAAACGAUGAGUGCUAAGUGUUAGAGGGUUUCCCGCCCUUUAGUGCUGAAGUUAACGCAUUAAGCACUCCGCCUGGGGAGUACGGUCGCAAGACUGAAACUCAAAGGAAUUGACGGGGGC